This 24-nucleotide non-coding RNA is filed under the name Arabidopsis thaliana (thale cress). The record is from RNAcentral. Lineage: Eukaryota; Viridiplantae; Streptophyta; Magnoliopsida; Brassicales; Brassicaceae.
UCCAGCAAUACGUGUCGGAAUGGU